UGGCUCUCGCAUCGAUGAAGAACGCAGCGAAAUGCGAUAAGUAAUGUGAAUUGCAGAAUUCAGUGAAUCAUCGAAUCUUUGAACGCACCUUGCGCUCCUUGGUAUUCCGAGGAGCAUGCCUGUUUGAGUGUCAUGAAAACCCUCAACCUUAGAUUGGUUAAAACCUUUCUUUGGCUUGGAUUUGGACGUUUGCCGAUGAUAAGUCGGCUCGUCUUAAAAGUAAUAGCUGGAUCUGUCUCGCGACAUGGUUUGACUUGGCGUAAUAAGUAUUUCGCUAAGGACAUCUUCGGAUGGCCGCGUUGCAAGACUAAAGACCGCUUUCUAAUCCAUUGAUCUUCGGAUUAAUAUUCUUGACAUCUGGCCUCAAAUCAGGUAGGACUACCCGCUGA
This 389-nucleotide unclassified non-coding RNA is filed under the name uncultured fungus. Its description in RNAcentral is "partial contains 5.8S ribosomal RNA and internal transcribed spacer 2". The stretch from base 1 to 133 matches the Rfam family "5.8S ribosomal RNA", at positions 22 to 154 of the family's 154-position model. Lineage: Eukaryota; Fungi. The record is from RNAcentral.